This 253-nucleotide ribosomal RNA is filed under the name uncultured bacterium. RNAcentral's name for it is "partial 16S ribosomal RNA". It matches the Rfam family "Bacterial small subunit ribosomal RNA", at positions 524 to 776 of the family's 1533-position model. The record is from RNAcentral.
UACGUAGGCAGCGAGCGUUGUUCGGAGUUACUGGGCGUAAAGGGUGUGUAGGCGGUUGUUUAAGUUUGGUGUGAAAUCUCCCGGCUCAACUGGGAGGGUGCGCCGAAUACUGAGCGACUAGAGUGCGGGAGAGGAAAGUGGAAUUCCUGGUGUAGCGGUGAAAUGCGUAGAUAUCAGGAGGAACACCUGCGGUGUAGACGGCUUACUGGACCAUAACUGACGCUGAGGCACGAAAGCGUGGGUAGCAAACAGG